GAAAUGCGAUAAGUAAUGUGAAUUGCAGAAUUCAGUGAAUCAUCGAAUCUUUGAACGCACCUUGCGCUCCUUGGUAUUCCGAGGAGCAUGCCUGUUUGAGUGUCUUGAAGUCAUCGACCCUUCCCGUUUUUGUGCGGGAUGCGGUUGGAGCUGGGGGCGUGCGGCCGCGAGGCCGCUCCCUUCAAAUGCAUCGGUUGGACCUGUGGGCUGAACUCGACUGGGCGUUGUACCAUCCUCGCUCUCCCCGAGACGUUCCCCUUCCGUGUCCUUCCACGACCUGCUGUAGAGCGGCGGUCAAAAACCAAACUUUGAAAUCUGACCUCAAAUCAGGUAGGACUACCCGCUGAACUUAA
Molecule: unclassified non-coding RNA, 353 nt
Filed under: uncultured Trechispora
Lineage: Eukaryota; Fungi; Basidiomycota; Agaricomycetes; Polyporales; Polyporaceae
Description: sequence contains ITS1
Rfam family: 5.8S ribosomal RNA (bases 1-105)
Source: RNAcentral